Molecule: transfer RNA, 73 nt
Filed under: Ciborinia camelliae
Lineage: Eukaryota; Fungi; Ascomycota; Leotiomycetes; Helotiales; Sclerotiniaceae
Description: tRNA-His
Rfam family: tRNA
About the family: Transfer RNA (tRNA) molecules are approximately 80 nucleotides in length. Their secondary structure includes four short double-helical elements and three loops (D, anti-codon, and T loops).
Source: RNAcentral
AGUGGAUAUAACUCAAUGGUAGAGUGAUUGUAUGUGGCACAAUUUGUUCCCUGUUCAAAUCAGGGUAUUCACC